This 301-nucleotide ribosomal RNA is filed under the name uncultured bacterium. RNAcentral's name for it is "partial 16S ribosomal RNA". It matches the Rfam family "Bacterial small subunit ribosomal RNA", at positions 509 to 807 of the family's 1533-position model. The record is from RNAcentral.
CAGUAGCCACGGUAAUACGGAGGGUGCAAGCGUUAUCCGGAUUUAUUGGGUUUAAAGGGUCCGUAGGCGGAUCUGUAAGUCAGUGGUGAAAUCUCACAGCUUAACUGUGAAACUGCCAUUGAUACUGCAGGUCUUGAGUAAAUUUGAAGUGGCUGGAAUAAGUAGUGUAGCGGUGAAAUGCAUAGAUAUUACUUAGAACACCAAUUGCGAAGGCAGGUCACUAAGAUUUAACUGACGCUGAUGGACGAAAGCGUGGGGAGCGAACAGGAUUAGAUACCCCUGUAGUACCUGUCUCUUAUAC